Ictalurus punctatus (channel catfish) is the source of this 2538-nucleotide long non-coding RNA. NCBI's taxonomy places the organism in Eukaryota, Metazoa, Chordata, Actinopteri, Siluriformes, Ictaluridae. The record is from Ensembl.
UAAUCCUAGAGCAGGUAAGAACAGGCUAGAGCAGGUAAGGCAAGGCUUGGUAAACAAUAGAGACUAUGGCAACCGAGCGCAUUACUUCGCAACGACAUAUAGUGACUGAACAGUCUCUUCUGUAGUGUGGUGUGAUUAGUCCACAGGAGAAGGUGACGUGUCUGUGUGUGGUUUUGGUUGUUGUAGUCGUCGGCCAUGUUUGUAGUUUGCCGUGCCUUCUGGGAAAUGGAGUCGCUAGUUUGCCGUGACAUGACGGCUAUCAAACUGGAGCUGCUAUAACCUUAUAGCCUAAUGUUAAGCUCUCACAAACAUAAUCAUAGGAAUAUUGAAGUCAAAUAAUAGAUUAAACCAUGAUGUAGUGCAGACCAGCAGUGUGGAAAAUGUUAGCAUUAGCUUUACCGUAUAACACUGACAUUUCCUUUCCUUUCCUACAAAAUGUAUUUCUGUCUUUUCAGAAUUGUAUUUUAUGUGUCUGCAUUUCAUCAGUUGCAGUAUUUUUUUUUUUCGUUUAUUUUGAUAUAUUUAUCUCUGAGGUACGUAGAUAUGUAUAAUUUAUCCAAACAUUUUAACUUCCUUUAUGUGUCUAAAUAUUCUUAGACAUCAAACGCUCCGUCUCAUCCAUUAUCCAUUUUGAAGGGGCAGACUGAGCUCAUGGUUUCCCUAACACCCCUCAUCAGCAGUAAAUACAGUCCAUUCAGCAGCAGCGUGAUGUCCUCAUCGAGCUGAAAGCACACACCGGAUCCUCUGGGUCCUGCACUAUAGAUCAGGCUGAGACAGCUCAGAGACACGAGCAAACACACAGAGCCGGCUCGCUCAUCACCGAUUCGGCUUCAUUCUUACAGUCCGGUGCAGAAUAAAAACACUACUAAUAGUGUGGUGGAACUGAAGAAGAACAUUUACAACAGUAACGAUAAGCGUUUUCAUUAUAUAUCACCCAUCAGCAGCUCAAAAAUACUUCACAUGGGACUCGAAGAACAUAAAGCAAACAGUUCUGAUCGAUUAAAACCAUUAACUGAAUGAAAAAUGAUCAGAAUGCAAAGGUAUGUAAAAAAAAAACAACAACAUGAAAUGUAAAUCAUAAAAAUAACACAGAAGAAAGGGGAAACAAACAAUGACACAGUUAUCAUCUAUCUUUAAAGAAGGCGUGGUCAGUGUCUCUUUUAUUAUCAGAGAAGGAGGCGUGGCCUCUGUGUCAGUACAAGUGAAAGACACAUGGUCCCUGUGUCAGUACCAGUGAAGGAGGAAUAGUCCUCUUUAAAGGAGGCGUGGCCCCUGUGUCAAUACCAGUGAAGGAGGAAUGGUCCUCCUUAAAGGAGACGCAAUACCAGUGAAGGAGGAAUGGUCCUCCUUAAAGGAGAUGUGGCCCCGGGUCAAUACCGGUGAAGGAGGAAUGGUCCUCCUUAAAGGAGGCGUGGCCCCUGUGUCAAUACCAGUGAAGGAGGAAUGGUCCUCCUUAAAGGAGACGUGGCCCGUGUCAAUACCGGUGAAGGAGGAAUGGUCCUCCUUAAAGGAGGCGUGGCCCCUGUGUCAAUACCAGUGAAGGAGGAAUGGUCCUCCUUAAAGGAGACAUGGCCGUGUCAAUACCAGUGAAGGAGGAAUGGUCCUCCUUAAAGGAGACGGCCCCUGUGUCAAUACCAGUGAAGGAGGAAUAGUCCUCCUUAAAGGAGGCGUGGCCCCUGUGUCAAUACCAAUGAAGGAGGAAUAGUCCUCCUUAAAGGAGGCGUGGCCCCUGUGUCAAUACCAGUGAAGGAGGAAUGGCCCCUGUGUCAAUACCAGUGAAGCGGGGUUAGCUAAUAUUUUUUUUAUUAUGAGAUUAUAAUAUCAUAAAUAUAAGACCCCUAAACUUAUUUCUAGACAUAUUUAUUAAUGUUAUGCUUGAAAUUGUAUUAUUCCAUUGGCAGAUCACUUUGCUUCUUUCUAGAAAUAAAUGCCAAUGCCAAAAAGAUAUUUUUACUUGCUAGGAUAUUUUUCCAGUAUUUAGUUACUAGGCACUAGCCAAUAUGAGUUUUCUAGCUAAACAUAUUUUCGAAAAUGAUGAUAAAUUGGUAUAAAAACGGCCUUUUUCCAGAUUCCCGUCAAAUUAGAGAACAAACAAAUUCUUUACCCGUUUAGCAAGAAAAACACCGAAACUCCUGAAUCCUCUUUGUUUGCUUUGUUUACUCUUUCACACUCUUACUUUUUCUCUUACCGUAUUGGUUGCUGGCUCCUGCGCGUCACCUUGUACCUGGACUUCUUUCAGGGCUAAAGUUUAUAUAUAGUUUGAUGUAUCUGAGCUGGUGUAUGGUGUAUGAGAAAACAUUUCACAGCACUGACUGUGUAUUAGUGCUACAGGAUUGUCCGUGCGUUUCACAGUAUCUCAAGAACAUCGUAUUGUAGAGUGAAUCAAUAAUCACCUGUUUUUCAUUCAGAUAUGAUGCACACUGUAGCUUUAAUUAAAGUGAAGCCAGGCGUAAUUAAAACGAGAGCCGACGCUGAAAUGUUUUGACCAGCGUCACACUGAGACAACUCAGGGACACGAGCCAACACACUAAGAAGGCC